UUUAAGAAUGUGAAAUGUCAGAAUAAUAGUAGUGAUUUUAUUUCAGCUUUUAUUUCUUUCAUCACAUUCUCAGUUGGUCAGAAGUUUACAUACACUCAGUUAGUAUUUGCUUGCAUUUUCUUUAAAUUGUUUAACUUGGGUCAAAUGUUUCGGGUAGCCUUCCACAAGCUUCCCACAAUAAGUUGGGUGCAUAUAUCCCCAUAAUUUUUUAUUUUGUGAAGUGCACAAGUCCCUCCGGCAGGAAAGCAUCCCCACCACAUGAUACUGCCACCCCUGUACUUCACGGUUGGGAUGGUGUUCUUCGGCUUGCAAGUCUCCCCCUUUUUCCCUCCAAACAUAAUGAUGGUCAUUAUGUCCAAACAGUUCUAUUUUUGUUUCAUCAGACCAGAGGCCAUUUCUCCAAAAAGUAAGAUCUUUGUCCCCAUGUGCAGUUGCAAACCGUAGUCUGGCUUUUUAUGGCUGUUUUGGAACAGUGGCUUCUUCCUUGCUGAGCGGCCUUUCAGGUUAUGUCGAUAUAGGACUUGUUUUACUGUGGAUAUAGACUCUUUUGUACCUGUUUCCUCCAGCAUCUUCACAAGGUCCUUUGCUGAUGUUCUGGGAUUGAUUUGCACUUUUUGCACAAAAGUAUGUUCAUCUCUAGGAGACAGAGCGCGUCUUCUUCCUGAGUGGUUUGACUGCAGCGUGGUCCCAUGGUGUUUAUACUUGUGUACUAUUGUUUGUACAGAUGAACGUGGUACCAUCAGGCAUUUGGAAAUUGCUCCCAAGGAUGAACCAGCCUUGUGGAGGUCUACAAUUUCUUUUCUGAGGUCUUGGCUGAUUUCUUUUGAUUUUCCUAUGAUUUCAAGCAAAGAGGCACUGAGUUUGAAGCUUUUCUGACUGGAACGGACAGACUGCCCAGAGGACGAAGUCUCUCCAAACUGCAGAUGCAAAUCACGUCUUUGGACAGUUCUGACGCUGAUGAAUAUUAUCCGAAAGCACAAACCUGCUCUGUGACGUUAUGCCUCCCUAACUACAGCAGUAUCGACACACUACAGGAGAAGCUUCUCCAUGCUAUCACCCACUGUGAUGUGUUUGGAGAUGCUUGAAAUGGGAAGCAUGUUACUAGUAGCCUAGCAGUUUGUUUUUAUCUACGUCUGUCAAUAUUAUGAUUUUAUUUAGUCAAUGAAGCACAUUCAGAGCUAACAACUGAAAAUAUUAAGACAUUAAGAGCAGUCUUUAUAAAGAUAAACUUUCAUAAAUGCUUAAUGUUUUUUCCAGUGAAACCACUGUUAAUAGAAACAUUUACGCCUCCUCCGGACCCCUCGUAGCCUAAUGUGCUGUUGAUUGGUCAAAUAAUUAUGAACUAAAUGAAUGAAAGCCAAUCAUACUUGAAUGAUCAAACAGUGGAGUAAAUUGAGAGAAACUGAGAGCUCUUUAUCUCUUUACAGAUUGGCUGUGGGUAUGAAUUCUUAGGAACCCUCUUUCGGAAAUGUUUGAAUUUUAGCUAACCUUAACCCCUUUUCUAUCCUUAACCUAAUUCUCCUAAUCUGCUACAUUAAUUAUCCCAAUUUGCUGUGUAAAUUCUCCUAAUCUCCUACGAAAAGUGAAAUUCUAGUCAAUUCUGACAUAAACUGUAGGAUAUUCCAUCUUGACAAAAAAAAAACUUUUCCUGGUAGCUAAAGGUCCGAAGAUUCUGAGCAAGUGCGUAAUUCUCUACCUUACGCACAGCCUCUGCUACAGUUUGGCUGCCCAGAGAACAGGAUACUCAGGUGAAUGGUGCUUGUUUAAUAAAGUUAGAUCAAAGCUGAAUCAAUGUCUGCAAGAUCACGUGAUAGUAUUCUACGUAACAGAAUGAAAUAUAAUAGCAUCAGGGCUGUAGCUACAUAAGAGGACAAAUGAAAAUAAGAUCAGCUUUAAUAUUGCUGAUAGAUUGAGGCUUCUGUCAAUGGGGCGGCAGGGUAGCCUAGUGGUUAGAGCGUUGGACUAGUAACCGGAAGAUUGCGAGUUCAAACCCCCGACCUGACAAGGUACAAAUCUGUCGUUCUGCCCCUGAACAGGCUGUUGACCCACUGUUCCCAGGCCGUCAUUGAAAAUAAGAAUUUGUUCUUAACUGACUUGCCUAUUUAAAUAAA
Long non-coding RNA from Oncorhynchus masou masou (cherry salmon), 2111 nucleotides. RefSeq lists it as uncharacterized. The transcript is spliced from 2 exons. Lineage: Eukaryota; Metazoa; Chordata; Actinopteri; Salmoniformes; Salmonidae. The record is from RefSeq and is a predicted model, not a curated record.